CCUACGGGAGGCAGCAGUGGGGAAUAUUGGACAAUGGGCGAAAGCCUGAUCCAGCCAUGCCGCGUGUGUGAAGAAGGCCUUCGGGUUGUAAAGCACUUUCAGUGGGGGAAAAAGCCUUGGGGCUAAUACCCUCGAGGAAGGACAUCACCCACAGAAGAAGCACCGGCUAACUCCGUGCCAGCAGCCGCGGUAAUACGGAGGGUGCGAGCGUUAAUCGGAAUUACUGGGCGUAAAGCGCGCGUAGGCGGUCUGAUAAGCCGGUUGUGAAAGCCCCGGGCUCAACCUGGGAACGGCAUCCGGAACUGUCAGGCUAGAGUGCAGGAGAGGAAGGUAGAAUUCCCGGUGUAGCGGUGAAAUGCGUAGAGAUCGGGAGGAAUACCAGUGGCGAAGGCGGCCUUCUGGACUGACACUGACGCUGAGGUGCGAAAGCGUGGAUAGCAAACAGGAUUAGAUACCCUAGUAGUC
RNAcentral lists this ribosomal RNA (465 nucleotides) under Vreelandella stevensii. RNAcentral's name for it is "partial 16S ribosomal RNA". It matches the Rfam family "Bacterial small subunit ribosomal RNA", at positions 338 to 795 of the family's 1533-position model. Lineage: Bacteria; Pseudomonadati; Pseudomonadota; Gammaproteobacteria; Oceanospirillales; Halomonadaceae. The record is from RNAcentral.